RNAcentral lists this ribosomal RNA (255 nucleotides) under uncultured bacterium. RNAcentral describes it as "partial 16S ribosomal RNA". It matches the Rfam family "Bacterial small subunit ribosomal RNA", at positions 99 to 354 of the family's 1533-position model. The record is from RNAcentral.
CGGACGGGUGAGUAACGCGUGGAAAACCUGCCGUAUACUGGGGGAUAACACUUAGAAAUAGGUGCUAAUACCGCAUAAGCGCACAGCUUCGCAUGAAGCGGUGUGAAAAACUCUGGUGGUAUACGAUGGUUCCGCGUCUGAUUAGCUAGUUGGUGGGGUAAUGGCCUACCAAGGCAACGAUCAGUAGCCGGCCUGAGAGGGUGAACGGCCACAUUGGGACUGAGACACGGCCCAAGCUCCUACGGGAGGCAGCAG